AAAUCAGACAGAAACUCUGUGUAAGGCCCAGGUGGACGAUAGAUGAUAACAAGUAAGACUGGUUUCUGAGUUUUACAGCUGGGGUGGACGAGGCGAAGCAUCAGGCUUUCAAAUGAAUUUAAAGUCUUACACUUUCUUAUUCUUAUAUUUUUUAUUACAGAAAAAAUAGAAACAAACAAGUGAAAUUUUUAUUUUUAAAUGGGGAAAAUAGAGUAAACAGAAUAACUUUUUUAAAAGAAAGAACACAAACUCUGAAAGAACUUUUCUACACAAUCUUCAAAUAUACGAUGCUUUACAAUCCCAUUAUUAUUAGCAGUAAACGCCCACACAAUGGAAGACAUUUCAGGAUUACAAGAUGAAUUUGAGUCUUACAGCAAAUAUUUCACUCAUUCAUCCACAGACAGUUUCAUUAUGUGGACUGAACCUUUUACUGUAAUGUUCACACUUAAAAUCUAGAAUAUAAUUAAAGCAUCUUAUCCAAUAAAGUAAUCCUAGCUCGUGCUGAAUAAAAGUAGAAAUUACCUUGGAAACAGAACUUUUCAAAUUAAGAGCUUACAUGUAAAUGCAAGAAAAUACUGAAACAUAACAUUUUCCAGAUUUCUGCCCUAAAUUUCCCACAGAAAAAGUUUCUCUAUUUUCAAACAAAGUUUCACUGCAAAUGAAUAUUUAAGGCACAAUAAAACAUUAAAUGUAUUUACACAGACAGACUUUAGUUUUUGUAAUCAUCUAGAUCAGGGGUGUCAAACUCAAAUACUCAGUGGGCCAAAAUUCAAAACUGGAACAAAGUCGCGGGCUAACGUUAAUAUUUAUUGAAAUAUAUUUAUUCCUCCAGAUAUAAGAAUGAAUCUUUUCUUAUGGACUCAAACACGUUUGCUGAAAAACUGAAUAUGGAACAAGCAAAGCUUAAUACUAAACAAUAUAUAUAUUAGCUGUAUAAUACCAGCAGGCCAGCUCUGAUAGUCAUUUGGUAUGGCUUCGCGGGCCAAAUGUAAUUAGGUUGCGGGCCAAACUUGGCCCGCGGGCCAGAGUUUGACACCUAUGAUCUAGAAGUUCACUCAAUUUGGCCAAAAACUCAUAAAAGCCAUAAUAAAAAAAGAAGAUUAAUCAGUAGAUUUUUCCACGCCCCCAUUACACUGAUCACACCAGAGUAUCUAAAAUCAUUUAAUUCUCAUGAGCGCCUGAGGUCUCGCUGUUUGUAAAGGUCUGAUUCGUUAAGCCAACUUACAGUGAAAGGGUUAAAGCACCAACCUUCACAUUACAUUUAUGCUUUGUUUUUGUAUCCAACCAUUUUAUUCACUUCUAAAUAUGAUGAUAUUUUAAUUAUAUUUCUCCUACAUAAAAACAUUAUAUGCAUUAACAGACGUCACACUCUACAACAUUUUCUUCCACCUGCCUGGAGACGUUUCCUGCAGAGGCAGCAGGUGUGACUGCUGAGCUCCGCCCACUUUAUCAGAUGCAGACUUUAGCGUCUGCUUUGUGUCCAAUCUGUAUGAAACUACAACAGGCUGAAGUUUGUGUCUCUUAUUUUAUUCUCACAGGUGCAUAAACCAGUGACAAUGUUUCAAAUAUCGAUACAAACAUGUUUUCAGAUUUAUGAUUUACUCUAAAAGUUUUAAACUUAAUUUGGUUUCCUGUAGUUUCUUAAACUGGAUCAA
Molecule: long non-coding RNA, 1655 nt
Organism: Astatotilapia calliptera (eastern happy)
Lineage: Eukaryota; Metazoa; Chordata; Actinopteri; Cichliformes; Cichlidae
Source: Ensembl